RNAcentral lists this ribosomal RNA (258 nucleotides) under uncultured bacterium. RNAcentral describes it as "partial 16S ribosomal RNA". The record is from RNAcentral.
CUGCUGCCUCCCGUAGGAGUCUGGGCCGUGUCUCAGUCCCAAUGUGGCCGUCCGCCCCCUCAGGCCGGCUACUGAUCGUCGCCUUGGUGGGCCGUUGCCCCGCCAACAAGCUAAUCAGACGCGGGCCCAUCCUGCACCGCCGGAGCUUCCCCCGCCGCCCCAUGCGGGGCUGCGGGCAUAUGCGGUAUUAGCAGCCGUUUCCGGCUGUUGUCCCCCAGUGCAGGGCAGGUUGCCCACGCGUUACUCACCCGUCCGCCA